This 21-nucleotide microRNA is filed under the name Zea mays. RNAcentral describes it as "zma-miR166i-5p". Its record names the gene zma-miR166i-5p. The record is from miRBase by way of RNAcentral. Lineage: Eukaryota; Viridiplantae; Streptophyta; Magnoliopsida; Poales; Poaceae.
GGAAUGUCGUCUGGCGCGAGA